CGACCCCAGGUCAGGCGGGGCUACCCGCUGAGUUUAAGCAUAUCAAUAAGUGGAGGAGAAGAAACUUAUGAGGAUUCCCUUAGUAAAGGUGAGCGAACCAGGAAAAGCCCAGCUUAAGAAUCAGGUGGAUUUGUCGUUUGAAUUGUAGUCUAUAGAAGCGCCUCAGAGAUGGACCGGGCCCAAGUCCCCUAGAAGGGGGCACCAGAGAGGGUGAGAGCCCCGUCGUGUUUGGAUCCUGUUGCUCCACAAGGCGCUAUCGGGGAGUUGGGUUGUUUGGGAAUACAACCCCAAUUGAGCGGUAAAUUCUGUCCAAGGCUAAAUAUGGGCGAGAGACCGAUAGUGAACAAGUACUGCGAGGGAAAGAUGAAAAGGACUUUGAAAAGAGAGUCAAAGGGUGCUUGUAAUUGUUGGGAGGGAAGCGGAUGGGGGCUGAUGUGGAUUGUGGUGGCAUAUCAAGCCCGGGUUGUCGUGUUAUGCCUGAGGAGAUGUCAUCACCAUGAUCGUGGUAGGUAACGUGCACCUCGAUGGCGUGCCUAUUGGCAACUGCAUACUCCAGGCAUCGGCCUAUCGGGCUCCCCAUUCGACUCGUCUUAAAACAUGGACCAAGGAGUCUAACAUGUGUGCGAGUCAAUGAGCGAGUAAAACUCGUAAAGAGUAAGGAAGCUAAUUGGUGGGAUCCCCUUGUGGGUUGCACCAUCGACCGACCUUGAUCUUCUGUGAAGGGUUCGAGUGAGAGCAUACCUAGCAGGACCCAAAAGAUGGUGAACUAUGCCUAAGCAGGGCCAAGCCAGAGGAAACUCUAGUGGAGGCCCGUAGCGAUACUGACGUGCAAAUCAUUCGUCUGACUUGGGAAUAGGGGCAAAAGACUAAUCGAACUGUCUAGUAGCUGAUUCCCUCUGAAGUUUCCCUCAAGAUAGCUAGAGCCCACGGGCGAGUUCUAUCGGGUAAAGCCAGUGAUUAGAGGCAUCGGGGGUGCAACACCCUCGACCUAUUCUCAAACUUUAAAUAGGUAGGAUGGCAUGGAUGCUUCGUUGAGCCACGCCAUAGAAUCGAGAGCUCCAAGUGGGCCAUUUUUGGUAAGUAGAAUUGGCGAUGCGAGAUGAACUGAAAGCCAGGUUAUGGUGCUGGAUUGUGCUCUAACCUAGAACCCACAAAGGGUGCUGGUCGAUUUAGAUAGCAAGAUGGUGGUCAUGGAAGCCGAAAUCCUCUAAGGAGUGUGUAACAACUCACCUAUCGAAUCAAAUAGCCCCAAAAAUGGAUGGCACUGAAGUGUGUAACCAAUACCCGACCGUUGGGGCAACUGCCAGGCCCUGAUGAGUAGGAGGGCAUGGCGUCAUCGUAAAACCUGGGGCAUAAGCUCGGGCGGAGCGACCGUCGGUGCAGAUCUUGGUGGUAGUGGCAAAUAUUGAAAUGAGAACUUUGAAGGCCAAAGAGGGGAAAGGUUCUAUGUGAAUAGCACUUGCACAUGGGUUAGUCAAUCCUAAGGGAUGGGGGAAGCCCGACAGAGAGCGUGUACACACCCGUGCUCCAAAAAGGAAUCAGGUUAAAAGUCCCAAACCGAGACGUGGCGGUUGACGACAAUAUUAGGAUGUCCGGAGACAUCAACGGGGGCCUCAGGAAGAGUUAUCUUUCCUAUUUAACAGCCUUCCCACUCAAGAAAUGGCUUAGCCGGAGGUAGGGUCCAGUAGCUAGAAGAGCAUCGCACAUCACGUGGUGUCUAGUGCACCCCCGGCGGCCCUUAAAAAUCUAGAGGACCAAGUGUCGACCACGCCCGGUCGUACUGAUAACCACAUCAGGUCUCCAAGGUGAACAACCUCUGAUUGAUGGAACAAUGUAGGUAAGGGAAGUCGGUAAAAUAGAUCCGUAACCUCAGGAAAAGGAUUGGCUCUGAGGGCUGGGCACGGUGUCCCUGUCUCGAACCCAUCAACUGUCGAUGGACUGCUCAAGCUACUUUCACCGUGAGAGCGGGUCGCUACAUGGGGGGCUUCCCUAGGCGUCGAACAGUCUACUCAGAACUAGUAUGGACAAGGGGAAUCCGACUGUUUAAUUAAAACAAAGCAUUGCGAUGGUCCUUGCGGAUGCUCAUGUAAUGUGAUUUCUGCCCAAUGCUUAGAAUGUUAAAGAGAAGAAAUUCAACUAAGCGCGGUAAAAGGUGGGAGUAACUAUGACUCUCUUAAGGUAGCCAAAUGCAUCGUCAUCUAAUUAGUGACGCGCAUGAAUAGAUUAAUGAGAUUCCCACUAUCCCUAUCUACUAUCCAGUGAAACCACAGCCAAGGGAACGGGCUUGGCAGAAUCAGCGAGGAAAGAAGACCCCAUUGAGCUUGACUCUAGUCUAACUUUGUGAAAUAACUUGAGAGGUGUAGGAUAAGUGGGAGCUGGAGUGAAAUACCACUACUUUUAACGUUAUUUUACUUACUCCGUGAGUCAGAGGCGGGGCUUUUCCCGUCCUUUUGGACCCAAGGCCCACCUCGAUGGGUCGAUACGGGCAGAGGACAUUGUCAGAUGGGAGUUUGGCCGGGGUGGCACAUCUAUUAAAAGAUAAUGCAGGUGUCCUAAGAUGAGCUCAACGAGAACAGAAAUCUCGUGUGGAACAAAAGGGUAAAAGCUCGUUUGAUUCUGAUUUCCAAUAUGAAUACGAACUGUGAAAGCGUGGCCUAUCGAUCCUUUAGACCUUCGAAAUUUGAAGAUAGAGGUGUCAGAUAAGUUACCACAAAGAUAACUGGCUUGUGGCAGCCUAGCAUUCAUAACGACUUUGCUUUUUUAUCCUUCGAUGUUGGCUCUUCCUAUCAUUGCGAAGCAGAAUUUGCCAAGUGUUGGAUUGUUCAUCCACUAAUAAGGAACGUGAGCUGGGUUUAGAUCGUCAUGAGACAAGUUAGUUUUACCCGACUGAUGGCAGUGUUGCGAUAGCAAUUCAACCUAGUACGAGAGGAACUGUUGAUUCACAUAAUUGGCCAUCGCGCUUGGUUGAAAAGCCAGUGGCUGCGAAGCUACCAUGUGAUGGAUUAUGACUGAACACCUCUAAGUCAGAAUCUAGGCUAAAGAAGCAACGCUUGUGCCCGUCGACCAUUUUCCAACUUGCAGUAGGGGCCCUCCAACUCCUAAAGGCACGUGUCGUUGGCCAAGCCCCCGCAAUAGACAUGCUGUGUGGGCUGCCUUAAAGUGUAAUUCCUAUUGGGCGAUGGGUAGAAUCCUUUGCAGACGGCUUAAACACGCGACGGGGUAUUGUAAGUGGUAGAGUGGCAUUGCUGCCAUGAUCUACUAAGAUUCAGCCCCGUGUCACAUCCAUUCGU
This is a ribosomal RNA of Macadamia integrifolia, 3290 nucleotides long. NCBI's taxonomy places the organism in Eukaryota, Viridiplantae, Streptophyta, Magnoliopsida, Proteales, Proteaceae. The record is from RefSeq and is a predicted model, not a curated record.